CUGGGCUCCUACUCCGAGGGGUUUGCUUUGUCUUCAGCCUCCGUUGGGACCAAAGGAGGAUCUCAGAACUGAAAAAUGGAACUGGGAGAUCCAAGAUGACCCCUUCCCCCAUGACCCAGGUGAAGCGAUCCAGGCCCUGGGAGAGCCUGUGUUAGCGACGGGGGGACAGAAUUGAUUUCUGCAGACAGGCACUGCCUACUACAUCUUGCCAUAAAUUCAGCCAACUCGUCUCCAUGGAAACCUUCGAAGACUGUGAAGAUCUAAAGCCAAGCCACAGAUCACCUGGUUGGGAAAGUCCCUUUGUGUAUCCCAUAAUAAGUGCUGCACUGAAUCCCAGAAUGCUUUGCUUCACUAAGUAUACCUGGACAUCAGAGUUCUAUACCCGAAUAUCUGUGUUCCAGAAAAGGAGAAGCCUGCGAACCUGCUCCCUGACUGGUUAACCCCAGCAACUCCUGUGUUCCCGAGGAAUAGUAAGCCCCACCGUCUGCGGACAGAACCUGAGGCCCUAUCUCAGUGUUCUUGCCCUCUGUAG
Phyllostomus hastatus (greater spear-nosed bat) is the source of this 532-nucleotide long non-coding RNA. RefSeq lists it as uncharacterized. The transcript is spliced from 3 exons. Lineage: Eukaryota; Metazoa; Chordata; Mammalia; Chiroptera; Phyllostomidae. The record is from RefSeq and is a predicted model, not a curated record.